Molecule: ribosomal RNA, 452 nt
Filed under: Corynebacterium diphtheriae
Lineage: Bacteria; Bacillati; Actinomycetota; Actinomycetes; Mycobacteriales; Corynebacteriaceae
Description: bacterial SSU rRNA
Rfam family: Bacterial small subunit ribosomal RNA
Source: RNAcentral
UUUUUUAUGGAGAGUUUGAUCCUGGCUCAGGACGAACGCUGGCGGCGUGCUUAACACAUGCAAGUCGAACGGAAAGGCCUAGCUUGCUAGGUACUCGAGUGGCGAACGGGUGAGUAACACGUGGGUGAUCUGCCUCGUACUUCGGGAUAAGCCUGGGAAACUGGGUCUAAUACUGGAUAGGACCAUGCUUUAGUGUGUGUGGUGGAAAGUUUUUCGGUACGAGAUGAGCCCGCGGCCUAUCAGCUUGUUGGUGGGGUAAUGGCCUACCAAGGCGUCGACGGGUAGCCGGCCUGAGAGGGUGGACGGCCACAUUGGGACUGAGAUACGGCCCAGACUCCUACGGGAGGCAGCAGUGGGGAAUAUUGCACAAUGGGCGCAAGCCUGAUGCAGCGACGCCGCGUGGGGGAUGACGGCCUUCGGGUUGUAAACCUCUUUCGCUAGGGACGAAGCUU